Molecule: ribosomal RNA, 951 nt
Filed under: Triticum aestivum (bread wheat)
Lineage: Eukaryota; Viridiplantae; Streptophyta; Magnoliopsida; Poales; Poaceae
Description: partial small subunit ribosomal RNA
Source: RNAcentral
AUGCAGCCGCGCGGUGGCGGUGGCGGUGACCGGGCGGCCGUGAGGAAGGGGCCGUGGACGGCGGAGGAGGACGAGGUGCUGCACCAGCACGUCCGCGAGCACGGCCCCCGCGAAUGGAGCUCCAUUCGAUCCAAAGGCCUCCUCCCCCGCACCGGCAAGUCCUGCCGCCUCCGCUGGGUCAACAAGCUCCGCCCCGACCUCAAGACGGGUUGCAAGUUCUCGUCGGAGGAGGAGCGGGUGGUGAUCGACCUGCAGGCGCACUUCGGGAACAAGUGGGCGAGGAUCGCGACGUACCUGCCCGGCAGGACGGACAACGACGCCAAAAACUUCUGGAGCACGCGGCAGAAGCGCCUCGCCAGGAUCCUAAGGGCGCCGCUGCCCCGCAGGAGGUCAGCCUCAGCCGCCGCCAAGCACAGCGGCGGCGGCGGCGGCGGCGUAGGCGCGGCUUCAUCUUCUGCGGCGUCCAACUCUCAUGAGGCGGCAGCGGCACGCGCUUCCGAGCUCCCAAGGCCACUGUCAUGGCCGAGGACAACUGCCACACCCACAGCAUCUCGUGGCUCGUCAAGGCCUGCAUCCCCGUCGACCCUGACCGCCACAUCUCUGUCCCCGUCGCAGUCCCCAUCUCCGCCGCGUGCCCCGAGUCUCCCUCCCGUCGCUCCCCGCCGUCUGCCGCUGCUUCGCCGACUUCUUCGCGACCUGGACCUGUUGUUGCUCUGGCCGGAACUGCAGCAGCGCCUGGGCAAAGGUGCCGCCGUGGUCGGAGACAGAGACGGCGAGCAGGGAGGGUGGAGCUGGCAGCGCGCGCGACAGAGCUGGAGGAAGGCUUGGGCAGCCGGCCCUCUGGCACCCGCGGCAGCUGUUGCUCCUGUGGGGAAGCCGGCCCUCCGGUGCCCAUGGCACGUCGGCCUCCGGAGAGGACAGACGAGGAGGGAGGGGCUUGAUUGCUUUUAA